AACGAACGCUGGCGGCAUGCCUAACACAUGCAAGUCGAACGAGACCUUCGGGUCUAGUGGCGCACGGGUGCGUAACGCGUGGGAAUCUGCCCUUGGGUUCGGGAUAACAGUUGGAAACGACUGCUAAUACCGGAUGAUGACUUCGGUCCAAAGAUUUAUCGCCCAGGGAUGAGCCCGCGUCGGAUUAGCUAGUUGGUGGGGUAAAGGCCUACCAAGGCGACGAUCCGUAGCUGGUCUGAGAGGAUGAUCAGCCACACUGGGACUGAGACACGGCCCAGACUCCAACGGGAGGCAGCAGUGGGGAAUAUUGGACAAUGGGCGAAAGCCUGAUCCAGCAAUGCCGCGUGAGUGAUGAAGGCCUUAGGGUUGUAAAGCUCUUUUACCCGGGAUGAUAAUGACAGUACCGGGAGAAUAAGCCCCGGCUAACUCCGUGCCAGCCGCCGCGGUAA
RNAcentral lists this ribosomal RNA (449 nucleotides) under uncultured bacterium. RNAcentral describes it as "partial 16S ribosomal RNA". It matches the Rfam family "Bacterial small subunit ribosomal RNA", at positions 29 to 523 of the family's 1533-position model. The record is from RNAcentral.